ACCAGUGUGGUAUAGUGGUUUGAGCCGUGGACUGCAACUCUGGAGACCAGGGUUCAAAUUCCUGCUCGGACA
This is a non-coding RNA of Phrynosoma platyrhinos (Desert horned lizard), 72 nucleotides long. Lineage: Eukaryota; Metazoa; Chordata; Lepidosauria; Squamata; Phrynosomatidae. The record is from the annotation of a GenBank genome assembly.